GCAAGUCGAGGGGUAGCAGGGAGCUUGCUCCGCUGACGAGCGGCGGACGGGUGAGUAAUGCUUGGGAACAUGCCUUGAGGUGGGGGACAACAGUUGGAAACGACUGCUAAUACCGCAUAAUGUCUACGGACCAAAGGGGGCUUCGGCUCUCGCCUUUAGAUUGGCCCAAGUGGGAUUAGCUAGUUGGUGAGGUAAUGGCUCACCAAGGCGACGAUCCCUAGCUGGUUUGAGAGGAUGAUC
This 240-nucleotide ribosomal RNA is filed under the name uncultured bacterium. Its description in RNAcentral is "partial 16S ribosomal RNA". It matches the Rfam family "Bacterial small subunit ribosomal RNA", at positions 57 to 305 of the family's 1533-position model. The record is from RNAcentral.